This 25-nucleotide non-coding RNA is filed under the name Mus musculus (house mouse). The record is from RNAcentral. Lineage: Eukaryota; Metazoa; Chordata; Mammalia; Rodentia; Muridae.
UCUUUACAAGCAUCAUUGCUACAGC